This 73-nucleotide transfer RNA is filed under the name Strongylocentrotus purpuratus (purple sea urchin). Its description in RNAcentral is "tRNA-Arg". It matches the Rfam family "tRNA". From Rfam's summary of the family: Transfer RNA (tRNA) molecules are approximately 80 nucleotides in length. Their secondary structure includes four short double-helical elements and three loops (D, anti-codon, and T loops). Lineage: Eukaryota; Metazoa; Echinodermata; Echinoidea; Camarodonta; Strongylocentrotidae. The record is from Rfam by way of RNAcentral.
GCCUCCAUGGCCUAAUGGAUAAGGCAUCGGUUUUCUAAACCGGGGAUUGUGGGUUCGAGUCCCACCGGAGGUA